RNAcentral lists this long non-coding RNA (340 nucleotides) under Mustela putorius furo (domestic ferret). RNAcentral describes it as "lncRNA (ENSMPUG00000024331.1)". Lineage: Eukaryota; Metazoa; Chordata; Mammalia; Carnivora; Mustelidae. The record is from RNAcentral.
CAAACAGCCAUAUAUCAUCUUGAUCUUGUCUAACACAGGUCAGCAAAGCUUUCUGCUGCUGCUUUUGCUGAAGACACCUCUAAGUCCGCUCUAGUCUUUCUCCAAGGGCCUGCAGAGGCCAGAGGCAACCCUCUGCCUUGCUUCGUCGCGUCCCAUGGUGUUCAUUCAUAGAGCUUCUUUUCACUCUCGAAAGAUUUCUUGCUGUGUGAGAUAAGUUACCACUGACUAGAGCAAUCACCACACGGGUGUUCCUAACCAAACUCCUGAGUUCCCCUUCCCUCAUUCCCAAACCUGCAUGUUCCCUUGUCGUCCCUGUCUUGGAUGAUGGCUUUCCAUCACC